RNAcentral lists this long non-coding RNA (325 nucleotides) under Homo sapiens (human). Its description in RNAcentral is "non-protein coding lnc-TMSB10-2:1". Lineage: Eukaryota; Metazoa; Chordata; Mammalia; Primates; Hominidae. The record is from RNAcentral.
CCAAGAUCAGCCCCCCUGCGUCUGUCUCCAAAAAAGGUUGGUGAUGACAUUGCCAAGCCAACCAGUGACUGGAGGGGUCUGAGGACUACAGUGAAACUGACCAUUCAGAACAGAGAGGCCCAGAUUGAGGUGGUACCUUCUGCUUCUGCCCUCGAAGCCUUCAAGGAACCACCAAGAAAUAGAAAGAAACAGGAAAACAUUAAACACAGUGGAAAUAUCACUUUUGAUGAGGUCGUCAACGUUGCUCAACAGAUGCAUCACCAAUCUUUAGCCAGAGAACUUUCUGGAACCAUUAAAGAGAUCCUGGGGACUUCCCAGUCUGUGG